CCUACGGGAGGCAGCAGUGAGGAAUAUUGGUCAAUGGCCGUAAGGCUGAACCAGCCAAGUAGCGUGAGGGAAGACUGCCCUAUGGGUUGUAAACCUCUUUUAUGCGGGGAUAAAGGUGUCCACGUGUGGAUGUUUGCAGGUACCGCAUGAAUAAGGACCGGCUAAUUCCGUGCCAGCAGCCGCGGUAAUACGGAAGGUCCGGGCGUUAUCCGGAUUUAUUGGGUUUAAAGGGAGCGUAGGCGGGAUUUAAAGGCUGCGGUAAAAUUUGGUGGCUCAACCGGGCAGUGCCGUGGCAACUGGAGUCCUUGAGUGCGCGGAAGGCAGGCGGAAUGCGUGGUGUAGCGGUGAAAUGCUUAGAUAUCACGAAGAACCCCGAUUGCGAAGGCAGCCUGCCGGGGCGUUACUGACGCUGAAGCUCGAAAGCGCGGGUAUCGAACAGGAUUAGAUACCCUAGUAGUC
Molecule: ribosomal RNA, 459 nt
Filed under: uncultured bacterium
Lineage: Bacteria
Description: partial 16S ribosomal RNA
Rfam family: Bacterial small subunit ribosomal RNA
Source: RNAcentral